GAUGAACGCUGGCGGCGUGCCUAAUACAUGCAAGUCGAGCGAACAGACGAGGAGCUUGCUCCUCUGACGUUAGCGGCGGACGGGUGAGUAACACGUGGAUAACCUACCUAUAAGACUGGGAUAACUUCGGGAAACCGGAGCUAAUACCGGAUAAUAUAUUGAACCGCAUGGUUCAAUAGUGAAAGACGGUUUUGCUGUCACUUAUAGAUGGAUCCGCGCCGCAUUAGCUAGUUGGUAAGGUAACGGCUUACCAAGGCAACGAUGCGUAGCCGAACUGAGAGGGUGUUCGGCCACACUGGAACUGAGACACGGGCCAGGCUCCGACGGGAGGCAGCAGUAGGGGAUCUUCCGCAAUGGGCGAAAGCCUGACGGAGCAACGCCGCGUGAGUGAUGAAGGUCUUCGGAUCGUGAAACUCUGUUAUUAAGGAAGAACAAAUGUGUAAGUAACUAUGCACGUCUUGACGGUACCUAAUCAGAAAGCCACGGCUAACUACGUGCCAGCCGCCGCCGUAA
Molecule: ribosomal RNA, 513 nt
Filed under: uncultured bacterium
Lineage: Bacteria
Description: partial 16S ribosomal RNA
Rfam family: Bacterial small subunit ribosomal RNA
Source: RNAcentral